GAGAGAUACGGAGGUAGAGCACUGAAUGUCCUAGGGGGUAUUGCACCUACCGAAGACUAUCAAACUCCGAAUGCCGUCAUCUUAUACUUGGGAGUCAGACUGUGGGGGAUAAGAUUCAUAGUCGAAAGGGCAACAGCCCAGAUCGUCAGCUAAGGUCCCUAAAUGUAAGUUAAGUGGUAAAGGAUGUGGGAUUGCACAGACAACCAGGAUGUUGGCUUAGAAGCAGCCACUCAUUCAAAGAGUGCGUAAUAGCUCACUGGUCGAGUGAUCCUGCGCCGAAGAUUUCCGGGGCUAAAACUUACUACCGAAGCUACGGCAUCAGUAAUGAUGGGUAGGGGAGCUUCCCAUACGGGUUGAAGCAUGACCGUAAGGACAUGUGGACAGUAUGGGAGUGAGAAUGUUGGCAUGAGUAGCGAGAUGUGGGUGAGAAUCCCACAGGCCGUAAACCCAAGGUUUCCAGGGGAAGGUUCGUCCGCCCUGGGUUAGUCGGGACCUAAGCUGAGGCCGAAAGGCGUAGGUGAUGG
Molecule: ribosomal RNA, 524 nt
Filed under: Clostridioides difficile
Lineage: Bacteria; Bacillati; Bacillota; Clostridia; Peptostreptococcales; Peptostreptococcaceae
Description: partial 23S ribosomal RNA
Rfam family: Bacterial large subunit ribosomal RNA
Source: RNAcentral